RNAcentral lists this ribosomal RNA (198 nucleotides) under uncultured bacterium. RNAcentral's name for it is "partial 16S ribosomal RNA". It matches the Rfam family "Bacterial small subunit ribosomal RNA", at positions 328 to 539 of the family's 1533-position model. The record is from RNAcentral.
ACGCUCGACACCUACGGGAGGCGGCAGUGGGGAAUAUUGCACAAUGGGGGAAACCCUGAUGCAGCGACGCCGCGUGAGCGAAGAAGUAUUUCGGUAUGUAAAGCUCUAUCAGCAGGGAAGAAACUGACGGUACCUGACUAAGAAGCACCGGCUAAAUACGUGCCGACAGCCGCGGUAAUCUGAGCGGGCUGGCAAGGC